UAAAACCUCUCCGGGAACCAUCACCUUAUCGUGGUGGAGAGGUUUGUGUGUCCCUGUGAACCUGAGGGCUGUGUUGUCUGGAGCUUUGUGCUCCUGGUAGGGUCUCCCAUGGCAAAGAGGUCUCAGGGGAGGGGCCAGACAAAGAAUGGUUCAAAAACUCUAAUGGACAAUCAAGGAAGGGAUAGAGGGACCCCGCCCGGGGACCCAGGACUAGGUGGAGAGAUUAUAUCUCUAACCGGGCCUGGGAAUGCCUUGGGAUCCCCCAGUCGGAGCGGGUUGAUGUGGCUCGGGAAAGGGA
Etheostoma cragini (Arkansas darter) is the source of this 298-nucleotide long non-coding RNA. RefSeq lists it as uncharacterized. The record is from RefSeq and is a predicted model, not a curated record. Lineage: Eukaryota; Metazoa; Chordata; Actinopteri; Perciformes; Percidae. The transcript has 3 exons.